Molecule: ribosomal RNA, 434 nt
Filed under: uncultured bacterium
Lineage: Bacteria
Description: partial 16S ribosomal RNA
Rfam family: Bacterial small subunit ribosomal RNA
Source: RNAcentral
CGAACGCUGGCGGCAGGCUUAACACAUGCAAGUCGAGCGGGCAUCCUUGUGGUGUCAGCGGCAGACGGGUGAGUAACGCGUGGGAACGUGCCCUUCGGUUCGGAAUAACUCAGGGAAACUUGAGCUAAUACCGGAUACGCCCUUUAGGGGAAAGGUUUACUGCCGAAGGAUCGGCCCGCGUCUGAUUAGCUAGUUGGUGAGGUUAUGGCUCACCAAGGCAACGAUCAGUAGCUGGUCUGAGAGGAUGAUCAGCCACACUGGGACUGAGACACGGCCCAGACUCCUACGGGAGGCAGCAGUGGGGAAUAUUGGACAAUGGGGGCAACCCUGAUCCAGCCAUGCCGCGUGAGUGAUGACGGCCUUAGGGUUGUAAAGCUCUUUUCUCCGGGACGAUAAUGACGGUACCGGAGGAAUAAGCCCCGGCUAACUUCGUG